GGGUUAUUGUCGUAAGAUGAUAAUUCCGAGUGGCGAACGGGUGAGUAACACGUAGGUGACCUGCCCCGGAGAGGGGGAUAACGGCUCGAAAGGGCUGCUAAUACCCCAUUCUGCUCACAGUGGUUAGAGGCUCAGUGAGGAAAGGUGAAGACGCUCCGGGAGGGGCCUGCGGCCCAUCAGGUAGUUGGUGAGGUAACGGCCCACCAAGCCGAAGACGGGUAGGGGGCCUGAGAGGGUGGUCCCCCACACGGGCACUGAGAUACGGGCCCGACGACUACGGGAGGCAGCAGUGUAUCUUGAUGUAAACUCGAGCCUCUGGAAGAUCUGGGG
This 330-nucleotide small RNA is filed under the name uncultured bacterium. RNAcentral's name for it is "bacterial SSU rRNA". The stretch from base 1 to 291 matches the Rfam family "Bacterial small subunit ribosomal RNA", at positions 68 to 355 of the family's 1533-position model. The record is from RNAcentral.